This 510-nucleotide ribosomal RNA is filed under the name uncultured bacterium. RNAcentral describes it as "partial 16S ribosomal RNA". It matches the Rfam family "Bacterial small subunit ribosomal RNA", at positions 28 to 507 of the family's 1533-position model. The record is from RNAcentral.
GACGAACGCUGGCGGCGUGCUUAACACAUGCAAGUCGAACGAAGAGCGAUGGAAGCUUGCUUCUAUCAAUCUUAGUGGCGAACGGGUGAGUAACGCGUAAUCAACCUGCCCUUCAGGGGGGGACAACAGUUGGAAACGACUGCUAAUACCGCAUACGAUCUAACCUCGGCAUCGAGGAGAGAUGAAAGGUGGCCUCUACAUGUAAGCUAUCACUGAAGGAGGGGAUUGCGUCUGAUUAGCUAGUUGGAGGGGUAACGGCCCACCAAGGCGAUGAUCAGUAGCCGGUCUGAGAGGCUGAACGGCCACAUUGGGACUGAGACACGGCCCAGACUCCUACGGGAGGCAGCAGUGGGGAAUCUUCCGCAAUGGACGAAAGUCUGACGGAGCAACGCCGCGUGAGUGAUGACGGCCUUCGGGUUGUAAAGCUCUGUUAAUCGGGACGAAAGGCCUUCUUGCGAAUAGUGAGAAGGAUUGACGGUACCGGAAUAGAAAGCCACGGCUAACUACGUG